RNAcentral lists this ribosomal RNA (488 nucleotides) under Anolis ibanezi. RNAcentral describes it as "partial 16S ribosomal RNA". It matches the Rfam family "Bacterial large subunit ribosomal RNA", at positions 1863 to 2597 of the family's 2925-position model. The record is from RNAcentral. Lineage: Eukaryota; Metazoa; Chordata; Lepidosauria; Squamata; Anolidae.
CCAGUGAAAAUUUAAACGGCCGCGGUAUCCUAACCGUGCAAAGGUAGCGUAAUCACUUGUCUUCUAAAUAAAGACCAGUAUGAACGGCUAAAUGAGGAUAGCCCUGUCUCCUUUAACUAAUCAGUGAAACUGAUCUUCCAGUACAAAAGCUGGAAUAAAAAUACAAGACGAGAAGACCCUGUGGAGCUUUAAAUUAAAACCAAAAUAAACUUUAAUUAAUAUUUAUGAUAAAUAAUUUUAAGUUGGGGCGACUUCGGAAAAACCUAAACUUCCAAGCACAAAGAUACUAUCUUAAUUUAGGUUAACCAACCAAAACAAAUAUUGACCCAGUACUACUGAUCAACGAACCAAGUUACCCCAGGGAUAACAGCGCUAUCUUCUUCAAGAGUCCAUAUCAACAAGAAGGUUUACGACCUCGAUGUUGGAUCAGGACACCCAAAUGGUGCAGCCGCUAUUAAAGGUUCGUUUGUUCAACGAUUAACAGUCCU